RNAcentral lists this ribosomal RNA (460 nucleotides) under uncultured bacterium. RNAcentral's name for it is "partial 16S ribosomal RNA". It matches the Rfam family "Bacterial small subunit ribosomal RNA", at positions 338 to 795 of the family's 1533-position model. The record is from RNAcentral.
CCUACGGGUGGCUGCAGUGAGGAAUAUUGGUCAAUGGGCGAGAGUCUGAACCAGCCAAGUAGCGUGAAGGAUGACUGCCCUACGGGUUGUAAACUUCUUUUAUAAAGGAAUAAAGUGAUGCACGUGUGGCUUUUUGUAUGUACCUUAUGAAUAAGGAUCGGCUAACUCCGUGCCAGCAGCCGCGGUAAUACGGAGGAUCCGAGCGUUAUCCGGAUUUAUUGGGUUUAAAGGGAGCGUAGGUGGGUUGUUAAGUCAGUUGUGAAAGUUUGCGGCUCAACCGUAAAAUUGCAGUUGAUACUGGCAGCCUUGAGUACAGUAGAGGUGGGCGGAAUUCGUGGUGUAGAGGUGAAAUGCUGAGAUAUCACGAAGAACCCCGAUUGCGAAGGCAGCUUGCUAAAGUGCCACUGACGUUGAUGCUCGAAAGUGUGGGUAUCGAACAGGAUUAGAUACCCUUGUAGUC